This is a long non-coding RNA of Cololabis saira (Pacific saury), 359 nucleotides long. RefSeq lists it as uncharacterized. The record is from RefSeq and is a predicted model, not a curated record. The transcript is spliced from 3 exons. NCBI's taxonomy places the organism in Eukaryota, Metazoa, Chordata, Actinopteri, Beloniformes, Belonidae.
UCUGUGCCUGCCAGUGUGAAGGUAGAACGUAUUUGCAAGGACAGUUUGAUUUAAGACAAUUAAAUGUUCAGAACUUGAUAGCUGGACCUUUCAGCAGUGUAAAGGUUGAUUUAUGCUUCUGGGACACUAUUACGCAGUGCCUGCCAGACGGCAGCAACUCAAAUGGAUGAGAACGAGGAUGUCAGCUGUCCUUGGUGAUGUCGCGAGCUCUGCCGAGGCCCCGGUAAUGUCGGCCUUUACCCUUGCCUUUCCGGGAUUUUCUGCAAGAGAAAAAGGACAACAACGCAGAGAAAUGCCUGAGAGACUGACGAAAGAGGUGGACUUUUUCACUUAAUGACAAUAAAAGCCAAUAAUGGCCA